RNAcentral lists this long non-coding RNA (905 nucleotides) under Numida meleagris (helmeted guineafowl). RNAcentral describes it as "lncRNA (ENSNMEG00000003892.1)". The record is from RNAcentral. Lineage: Eukaryota; Metazoa; Chordata; Aves; Galliformes; Numididae.
GCGACGUGGUGGCCCCAUAGGGACGUGGGUGACCCCAUAGGGACAUGGUGGCCCCAUAGCAACGUGGUGGCCCCAUAGGGACGUGGGUGGCCCCAUAGGGACGUGGUGGCCCCAUAGGGUCGUGGUGGCCCCAUAGCGAUGUGGGUGAACCCAUAGGGACGUUGUCGCCCCAUAGCGACGUGGGUGGCCCCAUAGCGACGUGGGUGGCCCCAUAGCGACGUGGUGGCCCCAUAGGGACGUGGGUGACCCCAUAGGGACGUGGGUGACCCCAUAGGGACGUGGUGGCCCCAUAGGGAUGUGGGUGGCCCCAUAGGGACGUGGUGGCCCCAUAGCGACGUGGGUGGCCCCCCCAGGAUGCUGGCGGCCCCAUAAGUGUGGGGCGCGGUGCGGGGGGGCGGUGUGGGGCGGUUGUGGGUCGGGGCGCGACGCUGUUGGCUGCUAAUAAAAAGAGAGAGCGACCGCACGCCUCCGCCCCACGGAUGGACCCACAGCGCUGCCCCAUAGCGACCCACAGAGACCCACCGAGCCCCAUAGAUCCCAUAGNGAGGAGGAAGGGGUUGGGGGCAGCCAGGAGGAGCUUGGUGGCAUCUUGGAGGAGUUUGGGGACAAGUAAGGGGAGCUUGGUGGCAUCUUGGAGGACCUGGGUGGCACCUUGGAGGACCUUGGAGACAAGUAAAGGCACCUUGGUGGCAUCUUGGAGGACCUUGGGGACACCAAAGGGGACCUUGGUGGCAUCUCAGAGGGGUUGGGGUCACCCAAGAGGAGCUUGGUGGCAUCUUGGAGGACCUUGGUGGCAUCUUGGAGGACCUUGGGGACAAUUAAGGGCACCUUGGUGGCAUCUCAGAGGAGUUGGGGUCACCCAGGAGGAGCUUGGUGGCAUCUUGGAGGAGUUUGGGGACAAGUAA